This 3457-nucleotide long non-coding RNA is filed under the name Trifolium pratense (red clover). RNAcentral describes it as "long non-coding RNA (TPRA_LNC006473)". The record is from RNAcentral. Lineage: Eukaryota; Viridiplantae; Streptophyta; Magnoliopsida; Fabales; Fabaceae.
AAGAAUUACAAUAUAAGUACUAUAUAAUAUAAUUAGUCCAAAAAUGAAAUGAUUAUUGGAAUUUGGGAGGAACUAUUGAAGCUAAUUCGAGAACAAACCUUUUGCACAUAGAACCUGAUUUUAUGAUUAUACUUAUAAAAGAGCAAACUGCGCAAGGAAUGAACAACAAAAUCAAUUAGUAACUCAAAUGGAUGCAGGCAAAGUUUGUCUAUAGCUUCAACAGAAUAAAGAGAAUUUCACAUUGUUUCUUUCAUGUUCAGCUAGCUACGGAGACAUGUAAUUGCAAUGCUACAUCACAUCUCUGCAUAUACAAUAAAAAAACUUUAGCUAAUUCAUUGAUUGAAAAAUACACGAAACAAAUUAACUCAAAACAAUGGCCUUCACUGCUUCAUCUUUGGUGCUAAUUUAGAUUUAGCAUGCAAGGAAUAAGAAAAAAAUCUAAAAAAUAAAAAUAUCAUAGCACUUUGUCUAACUGAACAAAAUGUAUUUAGAGGUGUCAAAAUUGUCAAUAGGUUAUGGUUCGUGAUAGUGAAGUUUGUGUCAAUAUGUUGUAUAUCUGAACCAAAGCCAUAAUGUAUUAUAAUUAAAUUCCUACCUUAAUAUUGUUGGUGUCUCUAAUAGAAAGUAGUAUUUUUUUUUUCAUGUCUCGAAAUAUAUAUGCACAACUUUUAAUCAAUCUUUCUCCCUAACAUUGGCAAGUGAAUAAUAGUUCAAAGAAAGAAACUAAAGUCACUAGAGUCUUCUAUUUGUGUCAAAGAAAAAUAAAACAUUGAUGGGAAUUCCUUCAUGAGCAUUGAUAUCAGUGUUACUUUACAACUACAGAAGGACCAAUAAUAAAAAUUAGCAUUUAUUACUAUAUAUAGUACAAAAAUCUACUACUGUUAUAGAAUUUUAGAGUUUCAAUGCAUUACAACAGUGUAAUUUACAACAGUCCAUCGGUAUACACACACUAACCUCUAGAAACCAUAUUUGACCAUCUGAUUUAGAACCCUUCUUAAGAACAAGUAUCCGGGGGUUUUGAAAAGAACGACUGAGUGACCUUUGCAUGACAAGGAAUCGGCGCCUAACACAUUUGGGCGAACCCUGCAAUACAAAAUGGAUAUCGGAAGCAAAAGACUUACAAAAGCAGCUAUGAAGCUAAGAAACUUCAAACUGACCCAUUCUCCGAUACUACAGUAAAAAUUUGUACUAUAAUGGACAUAGUUCCAUCAUCAGCUCCAACAGUGACAUACUGUCAAACAAAUGGAGGCACAAUUUUUGUUUUAGGCAUCAAUUGGUAUCAGAACCACUGAAAUUCAAUUCAACCUAACACGAAGUCACAAACACCUGAAAAUGAACAACCAUCUCAUAAGUCACUCUUUGAAUUGGAUUUAAAAUGAAUAUGUACUAUAAAAAUAAUUUGAAAAAUUGGGAAUAAGACAAACAAAUGAAAGUGACUAAAAAGAGAAGAUGAUGUAAUCAAAGAAAUAAAUGAAAUGACUUCACAUAUUUUCUGUUUAGUGCCCAGCAAGAGGACUGCAACUUAUAAUUCCUCCUGUUUUCUUCUGAUUAACUCUGCCACUUUUCUCCAGUACUGGCUCUUCUCUAUAGCUGCCAUUUCCUUCUAUUACCUAAAUGUUUCCAAAGCAACUAUUAUAUACCUUAUACAUAAAAUAGUACAGCAGGUUUCACUCUGCUAAUACCAGUCAUAAACAAGAAGGGUCAUUCAAUUUCAAAGUAAAUUUAACUAAUGAUAUAAUGAUUAAGGGAUUUAUAUGCCAAUGUUAUAGUGCUACGUUUGUGCAUUGUCAUCAUUGGGCAAACCUUUGUCAACCUUUAGAAGAAAGAGUUCCAACCAACAAAUUAAAAUUUAUAAGACAAUAAAUAGAGUUACUUUCAAACUAAUAAUUCUUAUAAUCAACCCAUAAAUCACAGAAGAACUACAUUGCUUCUUAGCCUAGCAAGAAACAAAUAAGCAAAAAAAAUCACAGAAACAGGCCCAAACAACUCAAGUGCUAAACAACCCCUCUAAAAACCAGAAGACCCCUGCCUAAACCCAGCCAGAGUGCUGUAGCAGAACAAAAAAUAGAAGAAAAUGCCGCAGCAAAAAAACAAUACCCAACAUGACAGAAUCAAUGUACACAUGCCUCUAUACAUGUUCAAUCAAUUAGCUUGGAUUAGUCACAGAGCAACCAUCUCUAAAGUCUAGCUAUAUAACAAGUCACAUGACAAAAUCAAUGUACAUGUUCAAUCAAUAGUUUUCAUAUCUAAAGUCUUGUUACUUUGUUUUCAUAUCUAAAGUGUUUUGUUCAAUCAAUAGUUAUAAAGAACAAAAUAUAAUAGAACCUGCUAUAGUAACCAUUGGAAUCUUUUCUUAAUAAAAAACACCUUCCUCUUCAAAUUGAACAUAUAUGGUGAUAUGUUUAUAUCAAUGAGGUAUUCCACAUAUAUGAGAGCAAUAAUUGUUCAAUUUGGAGAUUUGGCUCUGGAAAUCCAACACUUAUUAAAUUUCUAACUACAUUGAAGAAAAAGAAACAUAACAAGAAAACACAAAGUGGCUUAUGUAUGUGUGUGAAAAUUCCUUUGGAUUAUGAAAAGGAAAACCAAUGCUAUAUAUAUUUGUCUAUUCUUCUUUAUCAAUCAAACAUCAAAACUGCAGUUAAUUUAAGCCCUUCUUAACAAAUAAGUAGGACUAUGGAAUAAUAGGCAUAAAUGAGCAAGUCAUAAGUUCUUAAAAUAAGAAUAAAUAAGAGAAAAAUAGCCCUAAAGAGAAAAAUAGCAAGAACAUGAGGAAUACAUUAGAGAAGAAUCAAACCUGGUAGAAGAGAAGAAUCAAAUUUGACCAAAGAGAAGUAACGGCAAACAUUUAGAUGAGAGGAAGAACACAAUUGAUGUUUGCUCCAAUACAUCUAACACAUAGACAAAUGUGUACUCUAGUUGGAUUAAUUGGUUAACCAUGAGAACAUUAUAGAUGCAAUCAAGGGACUAGAGUCAUAUCAUGCAAUGAUCAACACAAACUCAUACUAUAGCACAUCAGCAGACUAUAGUUUGUCUGAGUAUUUAUGUCAAACACUUGGUGAGCAACAAAUAAAUGAUAAAAGUAUUGAGCAAUGAUAACAAUUUGUGGUCACAAACUAGAAACCCAGAAAAAACACAAAGCAGUAAGUACCAAACACAUAAUAGAGAAUAAGAAAACGCAUCAACUAUGGAUGAAACAGUCUUAAAAAAAAACUAUGGAUGUAACAAAAAGGAACUGCUAAAGAAAGGGAUCAAACAAAAAUAUAUAGACCUUGGUAACUACGACGACAUAUUAGAGAUUGAGCAACCAUGAUGACUACGGAUGAGCGCCAUGGAUUGUAGAUAAGUCAUUGCGGCUGGGUUCGAUGGAUUCUAGGGUAUUUGCGCUCGAUUGAUUUGUGGGUGAGUCAGAGUGAGGAGACUAUGCUUAUAAAAAAAAAAAGAGUGAGGAGACUAUGGG